Molecule: ribosomal RNA, 227 nt
Filed under: uncultured bacterium
Lineage: Bacteria
Description: partial 16S ribosomal RNA
Rfam family: Bacterial small subunit ribosomal RNA
Source: RNAcentral
UACGUAGGGUGCAAGCGUUAAUCGGAAUUACUGGGCGUAAAGCGUGCGCAGGCGGCUUUGCAAGACAGAUGUGAAAUCCCCGGGCUUAACCUGGGAACUGCAUUUGUGACUGCAUGGCUGGAGUGCGGCAGAGGGGGAUGGAAUUCCGCGUGUAGCAGUGAAAUGCGUAGAUAUGCGGAGGAACACCGAUGGCGAAGGCAAUCCCCUGGGCCUGCACUGACGCUCAU